GGAUGAGAAUAGUUUAGCCCUGAGUAAUGCACAGUAAAAAAGAAAUUUUGAUCUGAUGGUUUCUGUGGUUGAUUGUGGUCGUGUCUUUUAGGACACUAAUGAUCCAUAUGUGGGAACUGUAGUAUACCACUUUACCGCCCAAACACUGGUAUAUGAAACAACAGAAAUAGUUUCAGACUGAUGGGGUUAUAGGAGAAGUAUUGCCCAAUUGACAGCUGUUUUCCGUAAAAGCAAAGAAAGAAAAUGUAAUUUAAAAUAUUAUAGAUCUAGACAUAUAGAAAAGUUUACUAUAAUAAUAAUAAAGUAGUGAAAGGUAUGAAGAAAGCAGUGAAAGAUGGAGGAUUGGAUUGGACUGAGAAAUGUUUAGAAAAAAUAUUUUAGGUUGGAUUGAAGGGAUGGUUCUUCUGUCAGGGACUGGGGUUGGCAUAACUUUGAGGAAAAAUGAACUAAUUUUGCCAGUCUGAGAUGAUAAAGGAUAAACGGGCCGAUUGCUAUGUCCCUAAUAAAUUCCCUCAGCUAUAGCGGCAUCUAUAUAGAGGCUCUUUAAAGCUUCAUGAUACUCAUACACAGAAAAUAACUUCUUAAUGUUUUUUGUUUCCGAACUGGUUAUUUCAGUGAAGGUUAAAUGCUGAUAAGUGUUGUUUAUAACAAUAAAAAAAUCAUAGAAAUCAAAAGACUCAAAGCAAUGGGUUUCUCAUGAUGUAUAUUCACAGUCUAAACAGGCAGUGUAUUAAUUUUCUAGGGCUGGCUUAACAAAAUACUGAAGAUUAUGUGGAUUAAACAAUGUGUUUAAUUUAUCAUAAUUCUGGAGUCUGAAAAUAUGAGAUCAAGGUGUUGGCAGGGCUGUUGGUGUUUUGUUUCUUCUUUACUUGGCUUGCAGAUGGCCAUCUUCUCACUGUCUCUUCACAUGGUCAUCUCUGUUUCUGCACGUGUGCCUGCUGUCUCUCUGUGUAUCCAAAUUUCCUGUUUCUAUAAGGGCACCAGUGGCAUUGGACUGGGACCCACCCUAAAGACCUCAUUUUAACUUAAGCACUCCUUCAAAGACACCGUCUCCAAACAUGGCCACACUCUGAGGCACUGGAGGUUACGACCUCAACAUAUGAAUUUUGGGGAGAAGCAAUUCAGCCUCAAACAGAAGGAUGAGGUUGAUAUGAUUCUAUUUAACCGUCAUUCCAUAUGGGUGCCUUUUAUAACGGUAGAAUUUUUUUUUUUUUUUUUUUGACGGAGUCUCGCUGUGUCACCAGGCUGGAGUGCAGUGGAGCGAUCUUGGCUCACUCCGCCUCCCAGCAGGGGCGGGGUUUCACCAUGUUAGCCAGGAUGGUGUCCAUCUCUUGACCUCGUGAUCCGCCUGCCUGCGCCUCCCAAAGAGCUGGGAUUACAGGCCUGAGCCACCGCGCCCGGCCGUACAGUUUGUAUUCUAACACCAACUCAUAAGGGAAUAAACCAGGGUUACAAGUGUUGCUGCCUCACCAUGGACAUCCCACAGGACAAUCCACUGAACAAAUAACCCUUUUGUGUAGAUCCAGGAUACUUUUCACUUCCUAAACAUAAAUCCCACCACAUCUGUUCAACCAGCUCUGCUCCAGGAUAAAAAAAUAUAUAUUGAUGAAUUUCCAGCCUUGUUUCAUAUUCUGUUGUUCCCGGCAGCAGAUUUAUUUUUUAUAGUUGUAAACCGCCAAGUCAUUUUUUGGUGCUGUCUUUUGUUUUAUAAAGUCUUCCCUAUAAAGACAAACUACAGAGCAUUAUCAAGAUUUUCUGUUAAAUUGUAAAGUUCUUUAGACUUAAAUUUAAAUUAAGAUAUAUUCUUUAAGUACAAAUGAUAUUUUUAAAUUUAUCUAAGGGCCUGGUGGAGUAUGAAGACAAAAAGAAAGAAAACUCUUAAAGAGGGUCACCUUCACUGAUAUUGGCAAAUCCUUGUGUUUUCUGUCUGAAAGAUGAUUCAUGAAUGUUUUGCAUCACUUUCCUUUAGAGAAAGAGUGCAUUCUUAAAGCAUAAACAAUACCUAUUACAAAGCAGCUUCAGUUUUUUUGUACAUUAAAAUAUAUAUAUAAUAUUUGUAUAUAUUGUUCUAAAUCCCUUGCUCAUUCUGAAAAAGUUUUUUUUUCUGACUUGUUUACAAUGACUCUCUUUGUUUUUUUACUGAAAUCAAGUUAGUACUAUCUUCCAAAUGACUAGUGUGUAGAGGGAAAUUUAUAGCACUAAAUGCCCACAAGAGAAAGCAGGAAAGAUCUAAAAUUGACACCCUAACAUCACAAUUAAAAGAACUAGAGAAGCAAGAGCAAACACAUUCAAAAGCUAGCAGAAGGCAAGAAAUAACUAAGAUCAGAGCAGAACUGAAGGAGAUAGAGACACAAAAAACCCUUCAAAAAAUCAAUGAAUCCAGGAGCUGGUUUUUUGAAUAGAUCAACAAAAUUGAUAGACCGCUAGCAAGAUUAAUAAAGAAGAAAAGAGAGAAGAAUCAAAUAGUUUAGAAGAUUUUUUAACAUUUAAUAUUAUGUAGAAUUUUUUACCUAAAUAUGAUAAGUUUUUAUUUAAUCUCCAAUGGCAUCAAUAUAACAUCUGAAUUGAAAAAUAUGGUGUAGGCAUCACCUCUUAUAUAAUAAAGCCAUCAGUGGGUAUUAAAUGUCACUGGACUAAUAAUGGCUAAUUACUUAAAAAACUAUUUCUCAAUAUUGGUUAUCUAACAUAUACUUAAAUACCUUUAAGAGACACCUCCAAAUUAUUAUAUGUAGCUUUGGCCUAUUUUGAUGAAUUAGUAGUUGUUUCUUUCAUGACUGAAAAUAUAUCUUAGUAACUUCUUGAUAUUGAUUCUAAUGAUUUUUAUCCAUCAAUAUCAUAUACAAAAUGUAUAAAUUUUCCACUUGAAAAUUCUUAAACUGUUUUUGAACAUAUAGUAUAUAUCCCCUAGGCUUUUCUUUCUUAAGAUUAAACAUAAUUUCAUGUUUCAAACAAAUACAAUUUCCCUCGAAAAAACUUUAAUCGGUUUAUUUAUAAUUGUUAUAAAGUUGAAGUGCUGAAGCUUAUUCACUGAAACAUAUUGACUUGCAUUAAUGUUUUAGGUCCUUGAAUAUAUGAUAAGAAUUCAAACACAGAUAUAUAUAUAUAUAUAUAUAUAGAGAGAGAGAGAGAGAGAGAGAGAGAGAGAGAGAGAGAGAGUGAGAGAGAGAGAGAGAGAGAGCGCCUUUGGGGAGGGGCCCUGCCUUUUGCAGCAUAAGCUCAACUACACUUUAAAUACAUAUAUACACAUAUAUAUAUACACAUAUAUAUAUAUAUAUAUACACACACAUAUAUAUGUAGAUUUUCCACAUUUCUUCCUUCCUGUACAUUUAUAUGGGUGACCAUGAGCAAACCAAAAACUUUCAGACGUUAGAUUCUGAGCAAGGCUGUUGUUGUUCAAAAGAUGACUUAUUUGUAAUUGUGUAGCUCUUUGGUUUGAGAGAUAUACUAAUCUUAACAUCCAGCUAUCCAUUUUGUCCUUUUCCACUGCCCUGCACACCUCUGCUGGGUGUCCACUGCUCUGCACACCUCAUGGAUUGAUUAUCCCUGCUGACCUGGGCACUUAUAUUUUCUUACUCUGAACUGAUGACCAGGUAGGCAAAGCUGGGGACAGGAAAGGGUGCUAUCAGAAAACUCCACUCAUGGAGGCUUUCACUUUCUUCCUAUGUUUCUUUACACCAAACUGCACUUUCCAACCACCACUACCACUACACACACACAGGUAAAUUUUCUAAUUCCUAAGUCAAGGUUUUGUGUGUGUGUCGUGUGUGUGUGUGUGUGUGUGUGUUUCUGUGAGAAGUCUGGUCUAUUAAACUUCCUGGUCGAGUUGUGUGUAGAAGCUUAUCAGCCUAUGCUAAUAUGCCAUCCUGUCUGGAACAACAACAAAAAAAGUGUAAAGUUAUCUUUCUUUUCUAGGGGAAACCUCCCAUGCUUGAAUUUUCUUUAAUUAAUUUAUUUCUAGGAAAGCUCUCCUUUGAUGUUAACUUCACACAUAAAAAUCAAUAACAUAGAUGAAAUAAUUCAGAAUGUUCUUGGGUCAGAACAAUGAAUACAAGGGUAUAGAUGCUCAGAGAGCAGAUAGAAAUCAUGGCAGGACAUAAACGGAUUUCAAAGGCCUGAGUGUGAGACACAUAACACAAUGUUGAUAUUUGGGGUGUAGGCUGCUCAAAUGUAUUUUCCAAGAUGCUGAGUUUAUUCAUUAAUUUUAAGGCAAUAUAGCUACUUAAAACUAGAGAAUAGAUUCAUAUUUGAGAAUCAAGUCUUGUAUUUUUCUUUUUGGUAAAGUCAGCAAUAUAAUUUUCUUUAGUUAUCAGAGCUUAUGAAUACGAUUUGCUAUUUUGGAUGAUAAUUGUUUUGCGACUUGUCCAAAGGAGCUAGGGAAAGAUAAUUUGGAUAUGGGUUUGAAAGACUUUUUAAUUAAUUAUGUUGACUAUUCCACAUAUGCCUUAUGGUUAAAUUAAUUUAUUAAUAAUAUUAAAUUUCUACACAUUUUAGAAACACUGGAAAUAAACAUUUUUGGCUAAUAAAAUAAGCAUAUGAUUGUAAAUAGUUUUCACACUAGAUUAUCUGCUCUGUGCCUUACUCGAUAUAUCACUAUUCUAUCCCCAAUUCCUAGCACGUAGUAUGUACUCAAUAAACACUUGUUAAAUAAAUGAAAUGUUGAUAAUGAGUUAAGCCUAUUAUUAACUACAUUUUUAUUUUCAGAUAGUGUUUUUUUCAUAUAGAUCACUUAUUCCAUUUCAGAUUAUGGUGCUACUUCUGUUACCCAACUUAGACAUAACUAUUUGUUCUUUCAUCAUGAAACACAUGGAAAAAAUUUUAAAGACAAUCCCGGCUGCUGGAAAACCACAGUAGAGUGAGGACUAGAUUAUAUGAGGGAAUUGAUUUCAUUUUAGUUUAAUCUUAUCCUGAUAUAGGAAGCUCAUAUAAACAAAUAUCUCUAUUUCCCUUCAAGAAAUAAAUUUCCAUUUGCAGCUGGUAAAUUGUAAUCAACAUUGUUUUGCUGAUGUGACUUCUGUUAGAAUAAGUAAUUUAAAUGUUUCGUAAAGACCACCCACACAUUAAAAUACUAUUUAACAAAUACGCACAUUUAGUUUGAAGUUAGUAUGUAGCAAUGCUUGAAUACAAAGUGACAGAUAUUCUUAAAAAUGGUAUGCAUGUUUGAAAAUAUUGUUAACUUGUAUCUAGAAAGAGGCUAUAUUUUACAUGUCUGUCAGCACAUACUUUUAAAAAGGUAUUUUUAAGAAAGGCCAUUUUAACUGGCUUGAGAAUGGCACAUGUAUACCUAUGUAACAAACCUGCACAUUCUGUACAUGUAUCCCAGAACUUAAAGUAAAAUUUAAAAAAAAUAUAUUUUGUGGGGAUAUUUGGGGGCUGCUGGUCCCCACAAAAUUUCAGAAUUUAUAUUUUAUUCUAGUAGUAGCCAAAAUACUUUUGAUAAACUUUUUAUUUUAAAUGAAAUUACAGUAUUCAUCAGAUACCAGAGCAUAAAAUUCAUUUAAUUAGGGGAUCUUUGAUUAAAAGAUCAGGGAGAAAUGUUAAACUAUUUUAAGCAACCCUUGUACUUAGCUUAAUGAAAUUUGGGUAGAGGAUUUAUUCAUUUUAUAGAUGAGGAAACUGAGGUGCAGAAAGAGAAAAGUUUUACCAUAUUCCAUUUUAAUUUUCCCCAUUCUUUCUGCUUUGGUCUAUUUCUGGCCUGGUCUGGAAAAACAAUGAAAUUAUCACUGAUUGACUCCCCCUAAGAAGAAGAAAAAAUAAACUGAAAAGUGUGGGGACUGGGGGGCAGAUCCUUUUCUAAAUAAAGUGUAUAUUCUUGCUUCAAUUGGUUAUACAAGAACCGACUGAUAAAAACCGACUGUAUUUUUCUUUUUUGUUUUUGUUUUUGUUUUUCUUUUUUUUUUUUUUUGAGACGGAGUCUCGCUCUGUUACCCAGGCUGGAGUGCAAUGGUGUGAUCUCGGCUCACUGCAACCUCUGCCUCCUGGGUUCAAGCAAUUAUCCUGCCUCAGCCCCCCGAGUAGCUGGGAUUACAGAUGUGCACCACCACGCCUGGCUAAUUUUUUGUGUUUUAGUAGAGACACGGUUUCACCAUGUUGGUCAAGAUGGUCUCAAUCUCCUAACCUCGUGAUCCGCCCACCUCGGCCUCCCAAAGUGCUGGGAUUAUAGGCAUGAGCCCCCAUACGUGGCCAAAUUGUAUUUUUCAAAGUAUUAUGAUUAGAAUUUACUUUCAUAUGUUAAAAAUAUAUAUUUUAAGCUAUUGAUAUAGAAAAAUACUUUUUUAAUACUAAGUCAACAUUAUUUGGAGACAAGCUACAUACUACUAUUAAGUGUCCCAUAGCAUCACUCCAAGAAAGAAGAGUAAUCACCUUAAUAAGUUUUACUUAAAAAAAAAUUUCUUCAAGGAAUCAGCAUUAUGUUCAAAUAUAUUACUGUUGUGAUUUCUGGAAUUGUGGUCUCAAAAGAAAACCUUUGGUUGCUAGGCAAAUAAUAAUGUAAUACUUUUAAGUACAAUUGUUCAUAUUACAUUUCACACUUAAAAAGUUAUAAAUUUUUAAAAAAUAAAAAAGUGUCAAGUAUAUUCUAAUGAUUUUGGAAUUCUCCCUUUCAAUAGAGAUUAUAAGCUAGGUUCUCUUAAUAAAGAAUUGGUUUUAGCAUAACUAAUAGAGCUUUUUAACAGGGAACCGUACUUGGCACCUAAACCCACAGGUAUUGAUUUUAUACUUAUUGAGUGAACUUAGAAUAGGUAUGUUUUAAAACUUCCACAAGUAAAUAAGUCCUUCUGCAGGCCAGGAUUGAAAAUGAAGCUGUAAACAAACUCUGAAGAGCUGUCUUGAUCACUUUGAAGUAGACAUAUGUACCCUCAAAUAAUAGAGACUCUCCUCCUUUACAUCUCUUUUUAUUUCUGUGCUCCCCAAUUUAUCCUUCUACAAUUAUUUCCUCCUAACUCUUUCUGAGAAUGCAGAAGUGGCUGAGAGGCUCUUGCAAAAAUCCAAAAUAUAUAAUGUGUUAUUCUUUUUAAAGCAAGAGAUUUUUGGAGAAACACGGGCCUCUUUUGAGGCUUGCCACACACCGAAAAAUAAAAUAACAUAAUAAAAACAAUAAAGCAGGUGAAUGUAGUUACUACUAAAACAUUCACAGAGUACUGCAAUUCUAGCUUCUUCAAGAAAAAUAGUUGUCUACUCCACCUAAUUAUAAUUUAGCAUCUCAAGCUUUUCCUUAGGUCCUCAAUAUUAUCUCACUUUUUACUUUAAGAGCAGUUGUGAAACAAUUUUUUAGGCCAAAGUGAUCUGUCCCUUUGCAUGGCAUGGAUCAGCAUCACAGAAAAAUUAUAGAAGGAAAUACAUUGCAAUUUUCAGAAGACUGAGACAUUCCUCCAUACUCUUAAAAGUAUUAUGAAAAUUGUAGAACAUUAUAGCUUCUUGUUCAUUGGUCAUUUCUGCUUGAAUCUCCCAGGCACAUCAACAUUCAUGGCCAAAAUUGAAUGCAUUAUAUUUAGUACUAAACUGAAGUCCUCCUCUCACAAUAAAUAAUUCUAUUUUCACAGCUAUUUCCAAAACUAAUAACCUGGAGAUCGCUUGUGAUUUCUCUUUUGUCUUUGGUGACACUAUUAAGACACUGAGUACUGACAAUUUAUUUCUGAAACAUCUCACAAAUUCAUCUAUAGUUAUCUUUCUGAUAAAGACAAUGAUCAGAUUAUCUGCUGCCUGAACUAGUACAACAAAAUAUUAAAUGGCUUAUCAAAUUUGCACAGUGUAGUAGAAUUUUCCCUUAAACCAUGUCUGCUCUGCUUUAAUUCAUUCAUUUGAUUCCCAAGCCCUAAGAAUAAAGAUGCCUGACAUAUGCAGCCCUGAAUCAUGGAGGUUUGCCUUCUUUCCCGCAUCGUCUCUUGCAUUCUCCCAAUCACACAUUCAGUGCCCAUAAACUCUGAACUUCAGAUAUACUGAACUAUUUUGCCCAUCAAAGUCACCGGCUAUCUCUUAUUUAUAGGCUUUUGCACAUGCAAGAUUGUGUCCAAAAGCCAACCUCUCAACAUUCAUUCCCCCCGACUACAAGUCAUUCUCCAGAUUUUCCUUUUUUUCUGCGCAACCCUUAUUUAUCUUCCAAGUCUCCCCUUAAAUAGCGGUUCUUCUGAGACACAUUUCUGGCCCUGAGACUAAGUUAGUUCUUUUUUCAUUAUUAUUUUUAUUUUUUUUCUUCUGUUGCAUCCGCUAUUUCCCUUAUAAUAAUAAGGUAUAAUACCUCACUACAAAUACCUAUUUUAGUUAUCUUUUCAUUGUACCCAAAUUCUAUGAGAAUAUGCCUGUGCCUACCUGUCACCUACUAAAGAAAAUGAGUACCAAAUGAAUAAUAAUUUUUAAAAUGGAAUGAAAUCCCAUAGUUAACAAACUGUCCUAAUUAGAAAUGCCAUUUGAAAGAUUAUCUUCAAUAAGAUAGGGACAUUUUGUAAAAUGAAAUAAAACAAAAUUACAUUGGAAGAGGGAUGUCUAUUUGUAAGCAUAUCAGUGUUUUAAUGUGCUUGCAGACACCCGGGAUCAUGCUACAUCUUAAAAUCUUUUCUUUUUUUUAAAAAAACUCAAGAGGUAUGGAAGGCCUUUGAGUGGUACUUUUUAUGUAAUUCCUGUGACUAACAGAUUUUUUAUUAACAUAAUCACAUUACUCUGAGACAAAUAGUUGUGGAACACUGUGGAGCAUAGAGAUCAAGGGCCAGUCAUUCAACGUUUAAAUUGGUAGCACCUUAGAAAAUUGUAGGAAUGUGCUUUCAUAAUUAACAAAGAAAUGAGGCCGGGCGCGGUGGCUCACGCCUGUAAUCCCAGCACUUUGGGAGGCCGAGGCGGGCGGAUCACGAGGUCAGGAGAUCGAGACCAUCCUGGCUAACACGGUGAAACCCCGUCUCUACUAAAAAUACAAAAAAUUAGCCGGGCGUGGUAGCGGGCGCCUGUAGUCCCAGCUACUCGGGAGGCUGAGGCAGGAGAAUGGCGUGAACCCGGGAGGC
This 8987-nucleotide long non-coding RNA is filed under the name Homo sapiens (human). RNAcentral's name for it is "HSALNT0373614". The record is from RNAcentral. Lineage: Eukaryota; Metazoa; Chordata; Mammalia; Primates; Hominidae.